UGCCCAAGAGAUCGGGAUAACACCUGGAAACAGAUGCUAAUACCGGAUAACAACAGAUGAUGCCUAUCAACUGUUUAAAAGAUGGUUCUGCUAUCACUCUUGGAUGGACCUGCGGUGCAUUAGCUAGUUGGUAGGGUAACGGCAUACCAAGGCGAUGAUGCAUAGCCGAGUUGAGAGACUGAUCGGCCACAUUGGGACUGAGACACGGCCCAAACUCCUACGGGAGGCAGCAGAC
RNAcentral lists this ribosomal RNA (235 nucleotides) under uncultured Lactobacillus sp. RNAcentral describes it as "partial 16S ribosomal RNA". It matches the Rfam family "Bacterial small subunit ribosomal RNA", at positions 127 to 354 of the family's 1533-position model. The record is from RNAcentral. Lineage: Bacteria; Bacillati; Bacillota; Bacilli; Lactobacillales; Lactobacillaceae.